RNAcentral lists this unclassified non-coding RNA (265 nucleotides) under Hevea brasiliensis (rubber tree). The record is from RNAcentral. Lineage: Eukaryota; Viridiplantae; Streptophyta; Magnoliopsida; Malpighiales; Euphorbiaceae.
UAAAUCACAUAAAAACACACACACGCAUACAUGAUACAUGCAUUUUGCAUAUCCAUUUAGGUUAGAUUUCAUGGCCAUUUCAUUUAUUUGUUAGUCACUUUUAGCUAAUUUUAUUAGUUAAUUAGAUAAUUUUUCAUAAUUGUCAUUUUUUGGGUUAAUUUGUAAUUUACUUUAUUUUGUAGGUAAAAUGGUGUUUUUGAGGGACUAAAAAGUAAUUAUGCCAGUGAGGAGUGAUUCCCAUAGUCAAAAAUGUCAAAAUUAAGUU